UACGUAGGGGGCAAGCGUUGUCCGGAAUCAUUGGGCGUAAAGAGCGUGUAGGUGGCUCGGUAAGUCCGCUGUGAAAGUCCAGGGCUCAACCCUGGAAAGCCGGUGGAAACUGUCGAGCUCGAGUCCGGAAGAGGCGAGUGGAAUCCUGGUGUAGCGGUGAAAUGCGCAGAUAUCAGGAGGAACACCAAUGGCGAAGGCAGCUCGCUGGGACGGUACUGACACUGAGGAGCGAAAGCGUGGGGAGCGAACAGG
This 252-nucleotide ribosomal RNA is filed under the name uncultured bacterium. RNAcentral describes it as "partial 16S ribosomal RNA". It matches the Rfam family "Bacterial small subunit ribosomal RNA", at positions 524 to 776 of the family's 1533-position model. The record is from RNAcentral.